RNAcentral lists this ribosomal RNA (438 nucleotides) under uncultured bacterium. RNAcentral describes it as "bacterial SSU rRNA". It matches the Rfam family "Bacterial small subunit ribosomal RNA", at positions 954 to 1389 of the family's 1533-position model. The record is from RNAcentral.
GCAUAACGCGAAGAACCUUACCAGGCCUUGACAUGCAGAGAACUUUCCAGAGAUGGAUUGGUGCCUUCGGGAACUCUGACACAGGUGCUGCAUGGCUGUCGUCAGCUCGUGUCGUGAGAUGUUGGGUUAAGUCCCGUAACGAGCGCAACCCUUGUCCUUAGUUACCAGCACGUUAUGGUGGGCACUCUAAGGAGACUGCCGGUGACAAACCGGAGGAAGGUGGGGAUGACGUCAAGUCAUCGAUGGCCCUUACGGCCUGGGCUACACACGUGCUACAAUGGUCGGUACAGAGGGUUGCCAAGCCGCGAGGUGGAGCUAAUCUCACAAAACCGAUCGUAGUCCGGAUCGCAGUCUGCAACUCGACUGCGUGAAGUCGGAAUCGCUAGUAAUCGCGAAUCAGAAUGUCGCGGUGAAUACGUUCCCCGGGUCUUGUACACA